UACGGAGGAUCCGAGCGUUAUCCGGAUUUAUUGGGUUUAAAGGGUGCGCAGGCGGGAGAUUAAGUCGGCGGUGAAAUUUUGCAGCUCAACUGUAAAAGUGCCUUCGAAACUGGUUUCCUUGAGUGUAGAUGAAGUAGGCGGAAUUUGUGGUGUAGCGGUGAAAUGCAUAGAUAUCACGAGGAACUCCGAUUGCGAAGGCAGCUUACUAAGCUACUACUGACGCUCAUGCACGAAGGCGUGGGGAUCAAACAGGAUUAGAUACCCU
This 265-nucleotide ribosomal RNA is filed under the name uncultured prokaryote. RNAcentral describes it as "partial 16S ribosomal RNA". It matches the Rfam family "Bacterial small subunit ribosomal RNA", at positions 524 to 788 of the family's 1533-position model. The record is from RNAcentral.